GAGGCCUGCCUGCCCAGUGACAAACGUUCAACGGCCGCGGUAUUCUGACCGUGCAAAGGUAGCAUAAUCACUUGUUCCUUAAUUGGGGACUGGAAUGAAUGGCCUCACGAGGAUUCAACUGUCUCUUACCUCUAAUCAGUGAAAUUGACCUCCCCGUGAAGAGGCGGGGAUACAACAACAAGACGAGAAGACCCUAUGGAGCUUUAAUUUUCUGUCUUAACUACUAAAUAACUAACCCUACUGGGAUAAAAAAAAGAGAAGUAAGUCAGUAAUUUCGGUUGGGGUGACCUCGGAGAAUAAAACAACCUCCGAAUGAUUUUAACCAAGACAAACAAGUCAAAGUAUUAAAAAUCAAAUUGACCCAAUUCAUUUGAUCAACGGACCAAGUUACCCUAGGGAUAACAGCGCAAUCCUAUUCAAGAGUCCAUAUCGACAAUUAGGGUUUACGACCUCGAUGUUGGAUCAGGACAUCCCAAUGGUGCAGCAGCUAUUAACGGUUCGUUUGUUCAACGAUUAAAGUCCUACGUGAUCUG
Molecule: ribosomal RNA, 533 nt
Filed under: Microtus thomasi (Thomas's pine vole)
Lineage: Eukaryota; Metazoa; Chordata; Mammalia; Rodentia; Cricetidae
Description: partial 16S ribosomal RNA
Rfam family: Bacterial large subunit ribosomal RNA
Source: RNAcentral